This 301-nucleotide ribosomal RNA is filed under the name uncultured bacterium. RNAcentral's name for it is "partial 16S ribosomal RNA". It matches the Rfam family "Bacterial small subunit ribosomal RNA", at positions 509 to 809 of the family's 1533-position model. The record is from RNAcentral.
CAGUCGCCGCGGUAAUACGUAGGUGGCAAGCGUUGUCCGGAAUUAUUGGGCGUAAAGGGCUCGCAGGCGGUUUCUUAAGUCUGAUGUGAAAGCCCCCGGCUCAACCGGGGAGGGUCAUUGGAAACUGGGAAACUUGAGUGCGGAAGAGGAGAGUGGAAUUCCACGUGUAGCGGUGAAAUGCGUAGAGAUGUGGAGGAACACCAGUGGCGAAGGCGACUCUCUGGUCUGUAACUGACGCUGAGGAGCGAAAGCGUGGGGAGCGAACAGGAUUAGAUACCCGAGUAGUCCCUGUCUCUUAUAA